Molecule: ribosomal RNA, 372 nt
Filed under: uncultured organism
Description: bacterial SSU rRNA
Rfam family: Bacterial small subunit ribosomal RNA
Source: RNAcentral
CGUAGGUGGCAAGCGUUGUCCGGAAUUACUGGGUGUAAAGGGCGUGUAGGCGGGGAGACAAGUCGGAUGUGAAAGCCCAUGGCUUAACUGUGGAACCGCAUCUGAAACUGUUUCUCUUGAGUACUGGAGAGGAAAGUGGAAUUCCAAGUGUAGCGGUGAAAUGCGUAGAGAUUUGGAGGAACACCAGUGGCGAAGGCGGCUUUCUGGACAGUAACUGACGCUGAGGCGCGAAAGCGUGGGGAGCAAACAGGAUUAGAUACCCUGGUAGUCCACGCUGUAAACGAUGGAUACUAGGUGUAGGAGGUACCGACCCCUUCUGUGCCGGAGUUAACACAAUAAGUAUCCCACCUGGGGAGUACGGCCGCAAGGUUG